Molecule: transfer RNA, 85 nt
Filed under: Brevinema andersonii
Lineage: Bacteria; Pseudomonadati; Spirochaetota; Spirochaetia; Brevinematales; Brevinemataceae
Rfam family: tRNA
About the family: Transfer RNA (tRNA) molecules are approximately 80 nucleotides in length. Their secondary structure includes four short double-helical elements and three loops (D, anti-codon, and T loops). Further hydrogen bonds mediate the characteristic L-shaped molecular structure. tRNAs have two regions of fundamental functional importance: the anti-codon, which is responsible for specific mRNA codon recognition, and the 3' end, to which the tRNAs corresponding amino acid is attached (by aminoacyl-tRNA synthetases). tRNAs cope with the degeneracy of the genetic code in two manners: having more than one tRNA (with a specific anti-codon) for a particular amino acid; and 'wobble' base-pairing, i.e. permitting non-standard base-pairing at the 3rd anti-codon position.
Source: Rfam by way of RNAcentral
GGAGAGGUGGCUGAGUGGUCGAAAGCGACUGAUUCGAAAUCAGUUGUACAGCAAUGUACCGGGGGUUCGAAUCCCUCUCUCUCCG